CAGUCGCCGCGGUAAUACGAAGGGUGCAAGCGUUACUCGGAAUUACUGGGCGUAAAGCGUGUGUAGGUGGUUGUUUAAGUCUGUUGUGAAAGCCCUGGGCUCAACCUGGGAAUUGCGAUGGAUACUGGGCGACUAGAGUGCGGUAGAGGAUAGUGGAAUUUCCGGUGUAGCAGUGAAAUGCGUAGAGAUCGGAAGGAACAUCUGUGGCGAAGGCGACUAUCUGGGCCAACACUGACACCGAGACACGAAAGCGUGGGGAGCAAACAGGAUUAGAUACCCCUGUAGUCCCUGUCUCUUAUAC
RNAcentral lists this ribosomal RNA (301 nucleotides) under uncultured bacterium. RNAcentral's name for it is "partial 16S ribosomal RNA". It matches the Rfam family "Bacterial small subunit ribosomal RNA", at positions 509 to 807 of the family's 1533-position model. The record is from RNAcentral.